CAUGGGCUGUCGAAAAUACUGUAUAGCUAGGGAGUGGGAGAGGUAGACGGUACUCGGUAGGAAGGGGUAAAAUCCUUUGAUCUAUCGAUGACCACCAGCGGCGAAGGCGGUCUACCAGAACACGUCCGACGGUGAGGGAUGAAAGCUGGGGGAGCAAACCGGAUUAGAUACCCGGGUAGUCCCAGCUGUAAACUAUGCAAACUCAGUGAUGCAUUGGCUUGUGGCCAAUGCAGUGCCGCAGAGAAGUCGUUAAGUUUGCCGCCUGGGAAGUACGUACGCAAGUAUGAAACUUAAAGGAAUUGGCGGGGGAGCACCACAAGGGGUGAAGCCUGCGGUUCAAUUGGAGUCAACGCCAGAAAUCUUACCCGGAGAGACAGCAGAAUGAAGGUCAAGCUGAAGACUUUACCAGACAAGCUGAGAAGUGGUGCAUGGCCGUCGCCAGCUCGUGCCGUGAGAUGUCCUGUUAAGUCAGGUAACGAGCGAGAUCCCUGCCUCUAGUUGCCACCAUUACUCUCAGGAGUAGUGGGGCGAAUUAGCGGGACUGCCGCAGUUAAUGCGGAGGAAGGAGGGGGCCAC
RNAcentral lists this ribosomal RNA (576 nucleotides) under uncultured archaeon. RNAcentral's name for it is "bacterial SSU rRNA". It matches the Rfam family "Archaeal small subunit ribosomal RNA", at positions 565 to 1139 of the family's 1478-position model. The record is from RNAcentral.